RNAcentral lists this ribosomal RNA (253 nucleotides) under uncultured bacterium. RNAcentral's name for it is "partial 16S ribosomal RNA". It matches the Rfam family "Bacterial small subunit ribosomal RNA", at positions 524 to 776 of the family's 1533-position model. The record is from RNAcentral.
UACAGGGGGUGCAAACGUUGCUCGGAAUUAUUGGGCGUAAAGCGCGCGUAGGCGGCUACUUAAGUCGGAUGUGAAAGCCCUUGGCUCAACUGAGGAAGUGCACCCGAAACUGAGUAGCUGGAGUACGAAAGAGGGUCGCGGAAUUCCCGGUGUAGAGGUGAAAUUCGUAGAUAUCGGGAGGAACACCGGUGGCGAAGGCGGCGACCUGGGUCGAUACUGACGCUGAGGCGCGAAAGCGUGGGGAGCGAACAGG